This is a non-coding RNA of Zootoca vivipara (common lizard), 3249 nucleotides long. The record is from RefSeq and is a predicted model, not a curated record. Lineage: Eukaryota; Metazoa; Chordata; Lepidosauria; Squamata; Lacertidae.
AGCAGACGCAGCCUGCCAGAGGUCCCACCCGUGUGAGCGGAGUCGAAAUCCCUCCAGGAUGCAGUCCUCACAAGCAACGUGCCGAUCCUUCUGUGUUCACAUAUUGCCAUCUAGUGUGAGCAAAAGAAGUUGCAAGCAGAUUCAUAGCCAGAGAAUGAUGUGAAGGCAAGGGACACCGUGUGGAGCAGUUCCACCACCAAAGAGAAGCAGAUUUGGCCGCAUGAGCUGCCUGGGUGGGAGACCACCUGGAAAUCAUGUGUAAGCUGCUCGAGAUACUUUGAGAAAGAAUAGGGGUAGAAAUAUAUCGUAAAUAAUGGGCCCAUUUUUUUGCCCAAUCCUCCCAAGUCACCUUGUUUUCACAAAUCCCCCUUGAUUUUAUGUAUCUCUCUUUUUAGGUGCCAGACCAGCAUUAACAGAGUUUUCUGAUGCUGAGCUCUUCUAAGCACUUCUUUUCCUUGCAUUAGGGCCCCUUUUAAAUCUUGACUUUCAGAGGUGCUGCGCAGUCAGGCAGUGUAUGUUUUGGACCAGAAUCUGACCACCACAGAAACUCUAAAAGAAAUGAGCACAUUCACAAUUAAAAUAUGUCUCAGAAUAGUUCAAGCUGGGCUUCCCUAACCCAUUGUACAGAUGCAUUUGGCGACUUCCACGCUGUGCAGUUAAAUCACUCUGAUGCCACUACAAAACUCCUGACUUUCAUCUUCUUUUAGAUGGCAGGAACCACUUGUGUUUCUAUUGCUACCUACGUCUCAACAAAACGAAAACCAGCCAUUCUGGCUUUUCACUGGAAUAGUGAACAGAAUUUACUGCUGGAGUGGCAGGACAACCAACUCGCUAUAUUUUUAAUCCGUUGCCUCUGGAAGUGAUGCUUGGUUAUUGGCUUAUACAUUGGCUUAUGUCAUAAAACUCCAGACAUUGCAGAAAAGUUUGCACCAUGAAUGCAGAACAUGUAGAGUUUUAGACAGUAGCAACACAACCCUCUGCACGUCUACUCAGAAGUAAGUCCUGUUGAGUUCAAUCCGACUGAUUCACAGGUAAGCAUAUAUAUAUAGGACUAUUGCUUUAAUUGGACAAGAUAUGCUCACCAGAGACAUUGUGGCCUUUGUCUUGGUAGCAUUGCUGGAGCUAUAGGUUUCUUCAUUUGGUGUUGGCCUUAAAGCAGGGGUGGUAGGGAACCUUUUUCAGCCACAUUCUGGUCUGGGAAAACUUUCGGGGGCCACAUGCUGGUGAGAGGCAGGACAAAGCAAGGAAUGCAAUAUGUGGCUUUGUACAGUAGGCUACACUCUCAUCCCCCUCCACCCAGGCAAGCCAGAGGGAUUAUCCGGAGUUCAUGGAAACAACCCAGGCAAAAACACUCAAGGAGGAUAUAAAGUAGGGCUGGUGAGGGGUGUGGCUUAAGAGAGGGGUGUGGUUUAAGAGGGGUGUGGCCUGGGGAGAGCCCUGAAGGACCUCAUGUGACAUCUGGGCCAAAGGUUCCCCACCCCAGUUUUAAAGCCUAUCAGCAUAAUCCCUGGAAAGUGGGAGCGAUCAGCACAAGUGCCGUGAUCAAUAAGCAGUAUAUUUGUGCAGAUGCAUACAAAGUGGAACAUGGUGCGUAUCACCCAUUUCCUCCUCUUUAAGGCCACUACUGUAAGUGGAUGAAGCUAUGAACAGGUAGGGUGGACAUGGCCACAUAUUAAAGAGGCAAAACUGGCUAAUGAUACUCUACUGUACUUUGUUGAUGCCAGGACAGAGCAGACCUCAGGUGUCAUAAGCCACCAGAUGCUUUCUCUUAAUGAUAUACCACUCCUAUUUAAUACAGUCCCUGAAGACACCUCUAACAGCAUGAGGAGUAUUAUGCAUUAGGCCAAACACAAGGCUGCUACUCUCAGGAACCUUCCAAUUCAAAUUAGGCAGAUAAUCUAAUGAGACCUUACACAACAUCAUCAUAAAAGAGUGUGAGAGACAGAAGGGGGAAUAUAACACAAAAUGAGAAAUGGGCUCUUGGGGAAACAUGAAUUACAGGGAACAGAGGCUGCGUAAUUAGGCGCCUUGCAUUCUUGGGUGAGAGAAAGAGCAGGAUUCUACUCAGAGCCACAGCACACCCUGUGAAAUGCAUGAGGAAAGGAGGUGAGGGAGGGAGGCUCAGGUCUAGGAAACAGGGCUGUUGUAGAGCCAGGGUGAUGUAGGGUUUCGAGUGUGAGACUGGUUCAAGUACCCAUUUGGCCAUGAAGCUUCUUGGGUGAUCUUGAGCCAACUACCAACGUUCAGCCUAACCUAACGUUCCUAACAAGGUUGUUGUGAGGAAAAUAUAGAGAGGGAGAGAAUUCUGCAUUCCACCUUGAGCUUCCUGGAAGAAAGGUGAAAUACAAAUGUAAUAAAUACAGUGCUUUUUUCUGGGAGGAAGAAGGGGUAUGCAUACCCUUAAACAUUUUGUGCAUCUAAUGGGAGAAGAAACUAAAUAAUAAUAAUAAUAAUUUUCUAGCACAGUGAAUCGUCAGUCCCAAGGGCGGCUUCAUUUCCUUUCCCAGUUCUGAGACUCAGACAGAAGCGAACAUUUAACAUGUGAAGCAGUGUGGAAUGUGGAUGUGUGGUGUUUUACUGAUGAAAGUUUGGCCUCAUUGAGGUGUUUCCUGUUGGCAAAGGGAGAAGGCCAAGUACUUGUACGUUGUAUUAGAUUUCCAGAGACUGCUUCUAGAACCAGAAAAAAAAGGACAUAGCAGCAUUGUCUCAGAUGCAUAAGUGCCAACAUCUCAUUUGCAUAAAACAAAAGUGAGUUACAUCAAAUGUUUGCCAAACUAUAAAUCAUCUUCUUCAUUCCAACCUGCUCUGCUUCUUGCAAAAACCUUCUGCCCCAUAAAUAAUAUGCUCGUCAACCUGCUAGUCAGAUAAAUAUUUCAGAAGCUGGGAGCAUGGUCACACUUUCCCUGCUUUGCUUUGGAGUAGCGGGAUGUUUGGAUUAGGAAUUAUGAAGAAAACUAGAGAAAGGGCCAAGAUGGAAGCCCUAUUCACAUUGGGCGAAGGGAGCACCAGAUAAUUAACCACAGAAGGGAUUCCACUGCCAGCUGAGUUUGGACAAUUUCAGUUUGUCUCAGUUUCUAAUCUAUCCAGUCUUAAAUUCAGUUUGCCAUAUUUCUGCAUCAAUUUGCAAUAAUAAUAAAAAAAAUCAUCAUGAAAAUUCAUCAGCAUCUUAGUGUGCAGUUUUCCUAAAUGAAACAUUUUUACAUGCCACUUUACCUAAAAAAACCCACAUAUUUUUGCAAGCAGCAUCCC